This 200-nucleotide ribosomal RNA is filed under the name Listeria monocytogenes. RNAcentral's name for it is "partial 23S ribosomal RNA". It matches the Rfam family "Bacterial large subunit ribosomal RNA", at positions 2002 to 2201 of the family's 2925-position model. Lineage: Bacteria; Bacillati; Bacillota; Bacilli; Caryophanales; Listeriaceae. The record is from RNAcentral.
CAACGAUCUGGGCACUGUCUCAGCGAGAGACUCGGUGCAAUUAUAGUACCUGUGAAGAUGCAGGUUACCCGCGACAGGACGGAAAGCCCCCGUGGAGCUUUACUGCAACCUGAUAUGGAAUGUUUGUACCGCUUGUACAGGAUAGGUAGGAGCCGAAGAGACGUGUGCGCUAGCAUACGAGGAGGCAAUGGUGGGAUACU